Molecule: long non-coding RNA, 1555 nt
Filed under: Papio anubis (olive baboon)
Lineage: Eukaryota; Metazoa; Chordata; Mammalia; Primates; Cercopithecidae
Description: lncRNA (ENSPANG00000043486.1)
Source: RNAcentral
CGCGGCCAUCACUGAGUGAGCUCCUAGGAGCGGAAGGGAUAUCAAACUGUCUGUUGUUAACUCCAGCCACCAGGUGCUGUCUAAGCUCACAAGGCAAAGUGGUCCGGGAAGGCCCGGAGCCUGUUCCACGGCCUGUAGCCCAGACGUCUUUUCCUGAGUGACUUUGUGCCCUGUUUUCUCUGCAGGGGAGGAAGUGGUACUCAAAGGGCAGAACUGAGACCAGGCGAUGUUGAAAGGUGCGGGGAUGUCUCCAGGAGCUCAGGGACCAUCUGUCUCUUAUGUGUGCAAGCCUGGGCCACAGAUACCCUAGACAGGCAAGCACCUGUGCUGAGUAAUGCGGCUGCGUGCACCUGAGGGUGUGGAGAAAGGGCCCGUGGAUGCCAUUUCUGAGCAAGACCCCAUAGGAGGCCGAAUGCAACAGCAAAGUCAAAGGUGGGUCCUGCCUGGCCACCCUGGGCCCAGAGGAGGUGCAGUAAGCUUGAUGGCAGUGCCUAAGUGAUACGUCCACAUCCUAACCCAUGGAACUAGGGAAGGUGACCUUUUUGGAAAAAGGGUCUUUGCAGAGGGAUUAAGGUAAGAAUCUUGAGAUGAGAUCAUCCUGCAUUAUCCACAUGGGCCCUAAAUCUAAUGACAAGUGUCCUCAUUAAAGACACACAGAGGAGAAGACACCAACACCAAGAAGUAGGCUGUGUAGGGAUGGAGGCAGAGACUGGAGCGAUGCAGCCACAGGUCAGGGGAUGCCUGGAGCCCCCAGAAGCUGGUGGAGGCAGGACGAAUCCUCCCCUAGAGCUUUCGGGGAAAACAAGUCUUUACCAACAAGGGACUGGCUGAAAACCCAUUUAUCUCAGCAAUAGACUGCUCGGCUGGUCCUCAUCGGAGCAAGCGGCCCCAUCUCAGAACAGUCGGCGGAUCUCUCAGCUGGCCUUGUGGAACAACUGCUCAUUGUUGAAAGCUCAUUUGAAAGCCUCCCCCUUGGUGUCCACACAUCCUAAAUUAUUAUCAUGUGAACUUUGACCCAUUCCAGUUACCCCUCCCCACCAGACACACACACUCUGAAAGGCGCGGCUGGGGCGGCCCCCAGCCUUUACAAACCCCCCUCCUUUGCUGAGAUGUUAGGAGACCGUUCUGCAGGCACCCUCUUCACUGCAGUGUUGCAAUCAGCUCAGCUUUGUUAGAAAACUAGGUCAAUCUGCUGGGCCCUUUGGGCAGCGAGCAGGCAGCAACAGUUUGAUCAGAGAAAGCAAUCUGACUUGAAGAAAAAUAGUUUGCUUGGAUGCCACCACCCAGGAUGGCAAGAGUAAUCCACGAGGAGGGUCACCUAGAGCUUCACACCCUUCCACGCAGCCGGACACUCAGGCUGGAGAGUGCAGCACAGCCUCCUGCCCGUCAUCCGGUAUCCUGAGUGGCAGAAAGUCAGGACUGAAGGCUGCUCAGGAGUGAUCUGGGCCACUAUGAGACUGGGGGGCCUUACUCACUUUUAAUUUUUUUUCAAAUAAACUUUUAAUUUUAAAAUAGUUUGGGUUUACAGAAAAGUAAAGAAAGUAUAGAGUUCCCA